This 25-nucleotide non-coding RNA is filed under the name Mus musculus (house mouse). Lineage: Eukaryota; Metazoa; Chordata; Mammalia; Rodentia; Muridae. The record is from RNAcentral.
UACACAAAGGAAAAAUGGGCUGAGA